RNAcentral lists this long non-coding RNA (206 nucleotides) under Musa acuminata (dwarf banana). RNAcentral's name for it is "long non-coding RNA (MACU_LNC000618)". Lineage: Eukaryota; Viridiplantae; Streptophyta; Magnoliopsida; Zingiberales; Musaceae. The record is from RNAcentral.
UCCAACGUCACCCUCCACUGCCUUCAAUAAUUGUUGCAGUGAUCUUUUACAAGAUUCUUAGAGAAUUACCGAUUAGAUUUCGGAGGAUUUUUCUAUGCACUUUGUCAAGAUUAUGACCCUCAAACAUUCAGUCUCCAAGAUGCCAAGAUUGAAAGAUUGAAAAUAGAAGAACUGCGUACUAAUCUUACUCUAUACAAGAAGUCGAU